Long non-coding RNA from Sapajus apella (tufted capuchin), 103 nucleotides. RefSeq lists it as uncharacterized. The transcript has 2 exons. NCBI's taxonomy places the organism in Eukaryota, Metazoa, Chordata, Mammalia, Primates, Cebidae. The record is from RefSeq and is a predicted model, not a curated record.
CUGUAAUCCCAGCACUUUGGGAGGCUGAGGCGGGUGGAUCACGAGGUUAGGAAUUGUAGACAAGCCUGGCCAACAUGGUGAAACCCUGUCUCUACUAAAAAUA